AAAAGCUCGUAGUUGGAUCUCAGCUCGCGACAGACGGUCCGCCUACCGGUGGUUACUGUUUGUUCGCAGCAUUUUCGCUAGUUAUUCCAGAUGAUCUUCAUCGGUUGUCUAGAGUGACUGGCAAGUUUACUUUGAAAAAAUUAGAGUGCUCAAAGCAGACGUGACGUCUGAAUAAUUGUGCAUGGAAUAAUGGAAUAGGACCUCGGUUCUAUUUUGUUGGUUUUCGGAACACGAGGUAAUGAUUAAGAGGGACAGACGGGGGCAUUCGUAUUGCGACGCUAGAGGUGAAAUUCUUGGACCGUCGCAAGACGAACUACUGCGAAAGCAUUUGCCAAGAAUGUUUCCAUUAAUCAAGAACGAAAGUUAGAGGUUCGAAGGCGAUCAGAUACCGCCCUAGUUCUAACCAUAAACGAUGCCAGCCAGCGAUCCGGCUGUGUUCCUCAAAUGACACGCCGGGCAGCUUCCGGGAAACCAAAGCUUUUGGGUUCCGGGGGAAGUAUGGUUGCAAAGCUGAAACUUAAAGGAAUUGACGGAAGGGCACCACCAGCAAUGGAGCCUGCGGCUCAAUUUGACUCAACACGGGAAAACUUACCUGGCCCGGACAUAGGAAGGAUUGACAGAUUAAGAGCUCUUUCUUGAUUCUAUGGGUGGUGGUGCAUGGUCGUUCUUAGUUGGUGGGGUGACUUGUCUGGUUUAUUCCGAUAACGAACGAGACUCUAGCCUACUAAAUAGACGUUCCGAUCCUCUACGUCGGACGUUCUUCUUAGAGGGACAAGCGGCGUUUAGCCGCACGAGACAGAGCAAUAACAGAUCUGGGAUGCCCUUAGAUGUCCGGGGCCGCACGCGCGCUACAAUGAAGGAAUCAGCGUGUGCUCUCCCUAUCCGACAGGAUUGGGUAACCCGUUGAAACUCCUUCGUGCUGGGGAUUGGCCAUUGUAACUGGGCCAUGAACGAGGAAUUCCCAGUAAGCACGAGUCAUCAGCUCGUGUUGAUUACGUCCCUGCCCUUUGUGCACACCGCCCGUCGCUACUACCGAUUGAAUGAUUUAGUGAGGUCUUCGGACUGGCGCUCGGAUUGGCCUUCGUGGUCGAGCCGAAGUGCCGGAAAGAUGACCAAACUUGAUCAUUUAGAGGAAGUAAAAGUCGUAACAAGGGUUUC
RNAcentral lists this ribosomal RNA (1158 nucleotides) under Gnolus cordiformis. RNAcentral's name for it is "SSU rRNA". It matches the Rfam family "Eukaryotic small subunit ribosomal RNA", at positions 622 to 1804 of the family's 1831-position model. Lineage: Eukaryota; Metazoa; Arthropoda; Arachnida; Araneae; Araneidae. The record is from RNAcentral.